GCCACUGUGGCCGAGUGGUUAACACGUACACAGUAAGGCGGCAGGCUUAAGACCUGCUUACCCGGAGGGGUAGCAUGGGUUCGAACCCCAUCGGUGGCA
Molecule: non-coding RNA, 99 nt
Organism: Gracilariopsis chorda
Lineage: Eukaryota; Rhodophyta; Florideophyceae; Gracilariales; Gracilariaceae
Source: the annotation of a GenBank genome assembly